Molecule: ribosomal RNA, 650 nt
Filed under: uncultured bacterium
Lineage: Bacteria
Description: bacterial SSU rRNA
Rfam family: Bacterial small subunit ribosomal RNA
Source: RNAcentral
CAAGUCGAACGAGGUCCAUGGAGCUUGCUCCGGAAGAUCUAGUGGCGAACGGGUGCGUAACACGUGAGAAAUCUGCCCCGGACUCUGGGGUAACAGUUGGAAACGACUGCUAAUACCGGAUGCCUUCAUUUGACCGCAUGGUUGUUUGAAGAAAGAUUUAUCGGUUUGGGAGGAUCUCGCGGCCUAUCAGCUUGUUGGAGAGGUAACGGCUCACCAAGGCAUCGACGGGUAGCUGGUCUGAGAGGAUGAUCAGCCACACUGGAACUGAGACACGGUCCAGACUCCUACGGGAGGCAGCAGUGGGGAAUAUUGCACAAUGGGCGAAAGCCUGAUGCAGCCAUGCCGCGUGUGUGAAGAAGGCCUUCGGGUUGUAAAGCACUUUCAGUCAGGAGGAAAGGGUGUGAGUUAAUACCUCAUAUCUGUGACGUUACUGACAGAAGAAGCACCGGCUAACUCCGUGCCAGCAACCGCGGUAAUACGGAGGGUGCGAGCGUUAAUCGGAAUUACUGGGCGUAAAGCGUACGCAGGCGGUUUGUUAAGCGAGAUGUGAAAGCCCCGGGCUCAACCUGGGAACUGCAUUUCGAACUGGCAAACUAGAGUGUGAUAGAGGGUGGUAGAAUUUCAGGUGUAGCGGUGAAAUGCGUAGAGAU